CUAUAAGACUGGGAUAACUUCGGGAAACCGGAGCUAAUACCGGAUGACACAAAGGAACUCCUGUUCCUUUGUUGAAAGAUGGCUUCGGCUAUCACUUAUAGAUGGGCCCGCGGCGCAUUAGCUAGUUGGUGAGGUAACGGCUCACCAAGGCGACGAUGCGUAGCCGACCUGAGAGGGUGAUCGGCCACACUGGGACUGAGACACGGCCCAGACUCCUACGGGAGGCAGCAGUAGGGAAUCUUCCGCAAUGGACGAAAGUCUGACGGAGCAACGCCGCGUGAACGAUGAAGGCCUUCGGGUCGUAAAGUUCUGUUGUUAGGGAAGAACAAGUGCUAGUUGAAUAAGCUGGCACCUUGACGGUACCUAACCAGAAAGCCACGGCUAACUACGUGCCAGCAGCCGCGGUAAUACGUAGGUGGCAAGCGUUGUCCGGAAUUAUUGGGCGUAAAGCGCGCGCAGGCGGUUUCUUAAGUCUGAUGUGAAAGCCCCCGGCUCAACCGGGGAGGGUCAUUGGAAACUGGGAAACUUGAGUGCAGAAGAGGAAAGUGGAAUUCCAAGUGUAGCGGUGAAAUGCGUAGAGAUUUGGAGGAACACCAGUGGCGAAGGCGACUUCUGGUC
This 618-nucleotide ribosomal RNA is filed under the name Gottfriedia luciferensis. Its description in RNAcentral is "bacterial SSU rRNA". It matches the Rfam family "Bacterial small subunit ribosomal RNA", at positions 130 to 734 of the family's 1533-position model. Lineage: Bacteria; Bacillati; Bacillota; Bacilli; Caryophanales; Bacillaceae. The record is from RNAcentral.